This 484-nucleotide ribosomal RNA is filed under the name uncultured bacterium. Its description in RNAcentral is "partial 16S ribosomal RNA". It matches the Rfam family "Bacterial small subunit ribosomal RNA", at positions 30 to 507 of the family's 1533-position model. The record is from RNAcentral.
AUUGAACGCUGGCGGCAGGCCUAACACAUGCAAGUCGAACGGUAACAGGAAGAAUCUUCCUGGUUUCCUGGCGGGUGGCGGGCGGAAGGGCAAUGUCUGGGCCACUUCGUGGGGGAUGGGGAUCAGUACUGGAAACGAUUACCAAUACCGCAUAGCGGCGCAAGGCCGGGGAGGUUGGGCUUCCGGCCUCUUACCUGCGCCUAGGUCGGAUUAGCUAGUUGGUGGGGUAAGGGCCUACCCAGGCGACGAUCCGUAACUGGUCUGAGAGGAUGAGCAGUCACACUGGAACUGAGACACGGUCCAGACUCCUACGGGAGGCAGCAGUGGGGAAUAUUGGACAAUGGGCGAAAGCCUGAUCCAGCCAUGCCGCGUGUGUGAAGAAGGUCUUCGGAUUGUAAAGCACUUUAAGUGGGGAGGAAGGGCAGUAAGUUAAUACCUUGCUGUUUUGACGUUACCAACAGAAUAAGCACCGGCUAACUUCGUG